UCCCUCCCUCCCUCCCUCCUCUCCUGCCAUUUCCCUCUCUCUAUCCAUCCCUCCCUCCCUCUUUCUCUGUGUCACUCACUCUAUGUCUCAGGUGGCUGCGUUAAGUCAGCCUGUUGUGUCCAGUCCUCCCGUGUCUCUCAGUAGCGGUGUGUGUCUGUGUCUCUCUCUGUGUGUAAGUGUUGUCAGACCCCGUCCUGACAUGCUGGAGGUGCUCGGAGAGGCAGCGUAGCGAUUAGCGAUUAGCAUUUGUGAGGGUAGCAGGGAAUGCCUGCCUGACAGGCCCUGAAAAUGAAUCCAGUAAAGUACAGAUGAAAUCCAGAUUGCCUUUACAUAAUUCUGCCAUGACUUCUACCGAGUCAUAGUCAUAGUUCUAGUCUUAGUCAUAGUUCCAGUUCUAGUCAUAGUUCUUGUUUUUGUUCUAGUUCUAGCGCCCGAGACAUGGAUCCAGGUCUGUGUUGCUUCAGCUGCUUUGGCUAGGAGCCCCGGCACACAAUGCGCUGUCUCGCGGAGAUGAUGGUUAGGGUCUACCAAAUGCCCUGGGGAACAAAAUGUCUGCCUUCUGCUACCUAGAACAGUUUUUCUCUUGCUGUGGAAGCUGUGGAGGCAGUAUGGUGCUCUGUAGAAGGCACAUCUGAGGGAGAAAAAUGCAAAAAAUCAAGUAUCCAAGUCAAGAACAGCACCCCCUAGUGGCGUAGAGAAGAAACGUGCAGAAAUGUAUUGUUGUCUUUCCUGAUCCCUCAGCUCUGAACUCUGAACCCUUUGCUGGGCCAUGCUGUUCUCCGCUCUCUCAGGAGAUUCGCUGAGCAUUCCGUUUCCAGAAUAAAAAAGCUUAUACUGACACCUAAUGAAGUCAAGGUAUAUGAGGUCAUAUCCUGUGAGGUCAUGUACUGUGCGGUCACGUCCUGUGAGGUCACGUCCCUGUCAGGUAGUUGGUGUGUAGUCGACUCUCACAUUGAGGCUUGUGGAAGUCAGCUCAUUCUCCAUUGGUUUGUGUCCCAGUACUGUUAGUCUGAGCUUAGUCUGAGAUUAGUCAAGGAUUAGUCUAUGGGUUUCUAGGAUAACCCGUAACCUGUUGUAAAAAAUGUUGUGCUCUCUUUCUGCUCCCCUUCUCUUGUCUGUCUCUCUCUCUCUCUCUCUCUCUCUCUCUCUCUGUUCUUCUAUCUGGGUUAGUCAUGAGUGGGGGACAGUGUGUAGUUCUUGUGCGAUGGCCGUAGUGUGACACCCUCAGUGCACCAUCCAGAUAUACAGUGUAGUAGCUCAGUCUUUAGCUGUAGGACGGUUCGUGCAGUUGUAACGUAACUUGAGUUAUGAGUGUGUGUGUGAGUGUGUGUGAGAGAAAGAGAAGGUGUGGAUGGCUGGAUGUGUGCUUGCAUGAUUUGCUGCACUUGCCUCUCAUGGUUGAGUGUUGUUCAUUACUGUUUCUGACCUUUGCUGUGUGUCAGUGUUCACAGAAUUAUCAAACAAAUUAAGACAAAUGGUUAGGAAAGCAGAAAAAAAAAAAAAAAAGAUUUGGUAAAAGAAGGAGGAAUGCUUCACACGUUGACGGAAGAGAAGAGAAGUGACUGAACGAGGAGAAGCGUUCUUCGUCAUGCUGAACAUUAUUCUGUGUUGAAUCGAUUAGGAAAGGCCAACGAGUUAAGUGAUCUGAAGAUGAGGAAGAUGAAGAUAAUGAGUGAGAAUAAGAACUCUGUUUUUGUGUGGAAGCGUGGGUCUACACGUGUGCUUGUGUGCACAGAGUGCAAGGAUAGAUUGACUUGUGUGCUGUAUGUGUAGGGCCAGAGGUGUGUGUGUGAGAGGUGUGUGUGAGGUGUGUGUGUGUGAGGUGUGUGUGUGUGUGUGUGUGUGUGAGGUGUCUGUGUGUGUGAGGUGUCUGUGUGUGAGAGGUGUGUGUGUGUGUGAGGUGUGUGUGUGAGAGGUGUCUGUGUGUGAGAGGUGUGUGUGUGUGUGUGUGUGAGAGGUGUGUCUGACUGUCGAGUUCUAGCUGGUUUGUGUAGCUGUAGGAAUGUUUAAACGGAUUAUCAGAAAACGAAACUCCUUUCCAUAACUCCUGUGAAACAUAAGUCAAGGAAUCACAUAGACACACCCCCCCGACACUGUUUAGAAUUCAUCAUAGGCCUCUUUAUACAGCCAGUCAGUAGGAUGGUGAAGUGUCCUCAGCCCUGGUCACGGGGGAACUGUACUUCAUGUCUGUAUCAGUGAUAGGUUCUUCACACGCUUUGUCCAUUCUUUUUCUGUGACCUUCCUUUGGGUGGGAAUGUGUUGUGCGAAGUAUGAUAUGGGGGGGGCCUAUGGCAAAUGUGCAAUGAAACAUGAAAUAAUCAGAUUAUUGUGUAUUAAAGAAUGUGAAGAGUCUAAACUAAAUGUGAAAAGAUAAAUAGAAGUAUAUUCAUAAAUAGACCAUGUCUAUGUAGGUAGAAUGUGAAUAUAUAUAUAUAUACGAGUAUUGUUAAGAUUCAGUGGGAAGAUCUGAAGACAAUCAAUGCCAAGAUAGUUUUUUUUGUUAUAAUAUCUAUUUAUUUAUUUUUUUAUUUCUUGUCAUGCCUGUAACCUGAAUUCUGAUGGAUUCAGUACAUUUCACAGAAGACACACAUUUAAGUUUCACAGAACUUCAUCAAGUGCAUUUGAUUUAUGACAAUUUGUGUUUGUGUUUUUUUAUUUAUCAGAAGUGAUCAUGCCUAUCUAUUGCUUUGCUGUAGGACUGGUAAGGGUUAUUGGUCAGAGGGACUGGUCAGGUGUAUUGAUCACUCAUUGUAGUGGCUGGUUAAUCUUUAACAGAGACAGGUCUUGUCCUUACCACUGCUGUUUAGUGUGUGUCCUCAGUCACACACACACACACACACACACACACACACACACACACACACACACACACACACACACACACACACACACACACACACACUCCUGUCAAGUCGAAAUAAAGCAGAGGUUUAUUCUGGC
Molecule: long non-coding RNA, 2940 nt
Organism: Clupea harengus (Atlantic herring)
Lineage: Eukaryota; Metazoa; Chordata; Actinopteri; Clupeiformes; Clupeidae
Source: Ensembl